This is a long non-coding RNA of Cavia porcellus (domestic guinea pig), 5769 nucleotides long. RefSeq lists it as uncharacterized. The record is from RefSeq and is a predicted model, not a curated record. The transcript has 4 exons. Lineage: Eukaryota; Metazoa; Chordata; Mammalia; Rodentia; Caviidae.
AUGUAAAAGACCAAAAAAAAAAAAAAAACAAUACUUAAGAAAAUGAGACAUCAUGGUAGCCAUUGAUGACUUCCUAUCAUAUUUUUUGAAGUCCGAUAAUGGUUUUAUUCGUGGUUUUGAUUGGUUUUAGACCAUUUUCAAUUAUUUGAUUUUAAUAUAUAUGAAGAUAUGGACAGCUAUUUUAAAGAAAACAAGAGACAUUAUGGUAGGCAUUAUUAAUUUCCUACUGUCUAGUUUUGAAGACCAGUAAGGCUCUCAUUCUUUUGUUUUGAUUGUUUGUGUACUAUUUGGUUUUGCAUUAACUAACUGUAUGUGAAGGUAUGGAGAACUAUUUCAAAGAAAACAAGAGACAUUAUAGUAACCACUGUUGAUUUCCUGUUGUCUUGUUCUGAAAUCCUAUGUUAUUUGCAUUUUUUUGCUCUGCUCUGCUUUGUUCUCUUUUGCUUUGCUUUGUUUCAUUCUCUUUAAAAUAAAAAUAAAUAAAUAUAUCCUGCUCUUAACCUCUGUUGUUCCCUAGAAUUCAUUCUUUGAUUUUGGGAAACAAAAACUCAGAGCAUCAGACAUCUAGCAGGUUGGAAAUUAUAAUAUUUCCCUUGUAUUUUUUGGAUUACUUGGAGGGCCCACCAAGAUAAUUGGAUGUAGGUAACAGUUUGCUUUUGUUUCAUAGACCCUUCCUAUCUUAUAUCCACCUUGUGAUUUUGCUCUAUAAAGCUUCCCCUGAGAAAUGGGAUCUACAACAACCCACUUUCUUGGUUCCCUUCUGUCUCUCUUUGAUAGAAGCUAUCUUUCCCUCAACAAAUAUAUCCUACUCUUAAAAAAUUGCAUCUGUUCUAAAAAAACACACUAUUUUCACCAUGAUUCCCUAAACAGUAUAAUAUAGCACCUAUUUACAUAGAAUUUACAUUGGAUUAAGUAUUACAGGUAAUCUAGAGAUUAUUUAAAUGAUACAGGAGGAUUUUAUAGGUUAUGUGCAAAGCCUACACUAUUUUAUAUAAGGGACUUGACAAGUAAUCACCAUACUUAUGAUGCAGAAGAGUUUUACCAUCCCCAUGCUCACUCUGUGCUCCUGGGAAGUCAACUGUUUCCUGGACUCUCAGCUCCUAACUACUCAUCUGCUUUUGUUCAUAAUAACUUUACCUUCCUAGGAUUUCACAUCAGCGAAAUUUUCUUCCUCCUCCUCCUCCUCCUCCUCUUUCUUGUCUUUUCUCUCCUCCUCUUUUUCUUUCUUCUUCUCCUUUCUUCUCCUCCUCCUCUUCCUUCUCCUUUCCCUUCUCUUUAUUCUCCUCAUUCUUUUGUACUCCUGGAGAUUGAAUCAAGGCUCUUACUCAUGCUAGGCCAGUAUUCUACCACUGAGCUAUAUUCCCCAGCCUUUUUAAAGAAGGCUUUGCCAAAUAUAAGGUCACAAAGUUUUUUUUCCUAAAGAUUGUAGAAUUUUAGCUUUUACAUAUGUGUUUUACAUAUGUUUUUGAUUGUGGUCUGCUGUGAAGUUUGAGCUCAUUGUAUUGCACAUGAAUGCCUAUUGCAAAAGAUUAUGCUUUCCUGGCACUUUCACUGAAAGUCAGUUGACUAUAUAUGUGUGAGUGUAUUUUUGGACUCUGCUUUUCUAAUAGUCUGUGUCUAGAUUCUGGAGCUUUCUACUUUCUUGGAACCAGGUAUCUUAAGUUUUCCAACUAGCUUUUUGUUUUGGGUUUGGUUUUUGAUACAGGAUCUGGUUAUAUAGUUCAGGUUGGCCUUGAAAUCACUACGUAGCUUACGCUAGCCUUCAGCUCAUGAUCCUCCUUUACUAGCUGUUUCCAUUGUGCUUCUAAGUCUGGUGGUUGGUCUUUUUCACGGGAAGUGAAUACAAAUCUUGCUCAAGGCAUUGCAUGGUGACCUCAGUGCAUAGUAUUCUGAUGUGCAAAACCAGGCUCUAGCCCAGUCUCUAUUAUCCCCAAAACCAGCGAGCUCCUGCUAUCAGUGGCGUCUUGCUUCUGAGCUCCUAGCCUAGUGGACAGGGUUCUGCAUUGGAGAGCACAAGAAAUGUGCCCCUCUGCCUCAGUCCCUCUAGCCAGAGGUUGCUUAAGGUUAUUAGACACUUUCAAAUCUAGGUAUAGGGCCAUCUAGCAAAUUCAUACUGUCUGAACAGAUGUCUAACCAAAGACUAAGAGGCCAUCUCUCUUUUAUAGGCAUCUAAAGAGCAUCAUGAAGAUGUGCACACAGUGUUGCACACUGCAAUCCCAGAACUCAGGAUGAGGUAGGUGGAAUGCAAGUCUGAGCCCAGGCUGGGCAAUUUAGCAACUUAGACUGUCUCAAAUGAAAAACGGGGAUGUAGUUCAGUGCCAAGCACCUAGGUUUAGUCCCCAGUAUUGAAAAAAGAUACUGGUAAUUCCCUCAGAACUACUCUGUUGGCAUCAGUAACAACAAGGCACCCUCCCCAGUUCAUACCCACAGGCUGCUGAAACUCUUGUAGUAUUUCUCCUUGCUUCACCUGUCCCCAGUUGUCCAGUUACGUAGGUCCAGGGUAGGGUGGUAGCCACGGGGUGGAAGUAUUGGCUCUGCAGCCCUACAAGGAGCUCUGGCUGCGUCUAUAUUAGGGAUUCUUAUUACCAUGGGAGAGGAUAAACGCCUGUGGGUCCUCAUCCUUUGUGACCUGACUCAUAAAUUCCAGGGUAACAGGAAAAGGCCCAUUAGGCACUCCAUUACAAACAGUUCUAAUAAAAACAGUAAUAAUAACACCAAAACCACUCAUAUAGUGUUUGUUACAGCACGUCUUCCUCUCUACUGUUAUCAACACAUGCACUCUUUUUAACAGCACAGAUUGUAAAGUGGGAUCAUUAAGCUUUUCCAGCUGAGGAAACUGAACACAAAAGAGUCCCAUGACUUCCAGGGCUCAUCUGUGUGUUUCUGGACAAGAUAGAGACAAGAUUGAGAUAGACAGCAAGAUGCCCAUAUGAGUUCAACCAUCUGGAUCCUUCAUCGUGGGUCUCCUAGGACCACCAGGGCUGAAACUCUCCCUCUUACUUCAGGCCCUCUCUUCUGGAUACUGAUGCCCAAAACAUAACAGAUUUGGUGGAAUGAGGCAACUGGAAAUGGUUGUGUAAUCUGGCUUAAUAAGCAGUUUCCUUUAGAUGACAUUGUGUCUCUGCCGGUUGGACUUUUGCCUGAAAUGACGCUAAUAUACCAUGAGCCCACCAGAGCAGUGGCUGCCAAAAAUAACAGCUGUGAAAUGAUUUGUGACGCUGUUCAGCAGAAACAUAUUUGUCCUUUUGCAUUUUAUGAUCGGUAAGUGCUAGGAGUUAUUAUUUAUAAAUGUGCUUUACUCUCUUUACUGUAUUUCUUCAUUUUGAGAUGGACACAGGAAAAAUACCAUCGUGUUUUCCUUCAGGUAGGAGUCAUGCAUUCAGGUCCUCUGACCACACAGACGCACUUUGUGCGUCAACCCUUGCACAAAAUGAGCUUUCCUGUUUUUGUCAUCGUGGUUUGUGCUACAGGGGCACUUUGUGUAGGAGAGAAAAAUACCCUUAAGGAAGCUUCCAAGGAGGUUACUAGGUGCAUGGUUCAGCCAAGUGAGGGACUCCAGGGGAUGCACAUCUUUGUGUUCACUCAGGGCGGGAAGGGUGUAACACACAUUGGAAGAAACCCGGCUCGUGGCCAAAUAACUUUACCACCUGAGGUAUGAGGCAGUUCCGCCACAUUGCCAUUCCAUUGGGCUUCGGCAUCACUUCUUGAGAAACGGAGUCUGGGAAAGUACAUAGCUCCACAUGACACCAUGCUACACAGAGAAUGAUUUCUAAUUACGUGUGUCACGGGGACCCCGUGGCUUCAGACACACACGCAGAAUUCCUCCUGUAAAUGCAUUUGUGUGGUAAAAGCGUACCUACUGAUAUACUGAAUAUUUUAUGAAUAAAACAAUAAAAAGGAAAAGGAAAAAGAGGGCAGAAGGAUGGACAGGUAAAACAGAAGAAUGUUGUUAGUUAUGGAAACCAGGCAACAGCAGUUCACGUCUCUUCUCUCUACUUUUGUAUGUGGGAAAACAUUUCCCAGAUUAAUAGUUUUUAUGAAUAUGUAUAAUAUUUGCCUUAGUCCAUUUGUACUGCUAUAAAAAAGAUCUGUGACUAGAUGAUUAUGCUAGGCUGCUUUGUCACUAUAACAGAUACUUAGGAUAACUUCUAUGGAGGAAAGGGUUAACUGAAGAUGGUGGCACAUGCCUAUAAUCCUGAAACUCUAGAAGGCUGAUGUAGGAGGACUGCAAGUUCAAGCCCAGCCUGAGCAAUUUAGUGACUAGUGAGACCUUGUCUCACAAAUAAAAAAUAAAAAUAAGAAAAAGCAAGAGUAAAGUUCCUUUACUCUUGGAUUGAAUCCUUUGGUUCAAUCAGCAGCAGGGCUGGUGGGAUGGGUGGGGUGUUGAAUUUGGCUCAUCAUUUUAGAGAUUUCAGUCCAUAAUCAGUUGGCCUACCAUAGUAUAUCUUGCUGUCUUCACAACAGUUGUCUAUUCCAUUAGGUAGAGCAAAAUCAAACAAAAAACAAAACAGAAUAAAGCCAAUUAAAACAGAAUAUUGAAUAAAGCAAAACAAUUAAUCAGAACAAAGCAAAACUGUGAGAACAAUAUUGGAUUUCAAUGACAUUUCAAUGACAAGGUAGAAGGAAAUCCUCCACAUUUGCUAUAUUGCAUACUGUCAUCCUGUCCCCAGUCCUGUGGGGGAACCGCUGUCCCCAGUCCUGUGAAAUCAAACGAACAACACAAGCGUGUAGUUGCUUUAUGUACCUUAGUUGCUAUCAACUCAGCCUGUCCUCCAACCAGCAGAUUGCUUAGUGGGAGGGACUUGAUUCUUAGCCUGUGCGCUGGUAGACUCACGGGAGGUGUUAUCUGACUUUUCCUGGAACCCUCGUGGCUUACCAGAAAGGCUUCUUCUUGGGUCCUCCCAGUUCCAGAAUGGCUGAUUCUUGGCAAAACUGAUUCUUAAAUGUAAGAAUGAUUCCAAUUUGUGAAACCAGUGUGAGGAAUUCCCUUGCUUCCAAGUCACUCUCAGGACCUUGUGUCACCUGUGACCAGGCUCUGCUUGUUUUCCUUCAAAACAUCUUAACAGCUCUGCUGUUGUCUCCUUAAGAUGGCAAUACACAGUCAAAAGCAACAUUCCCAUGUUGUAUAGUGACUUCCCCAGGGUCUCUUGUUCAGUUUGGGCCACCACUGGUUUCUGAUUUUGUUACAGCUUUGGAUGAUAUGAUGGUCACUGUGGCCAGAAAGGGGCUUGACCUAAGAUGUCACAGGAAGCAUCUCAGACCACCUCCAUGUGAAUAUUGGAAGUCUUGCCUCUGCUGUCCCCUAGGAGACCACUAAAGGAAAAGAGGCUUUUCCAUGUCAUGCAAACACGGUUUCCACAUCAGUUCCGGAAUGCAGGGGAAUUUCCCAGCCUCCGUGCUUUGAGGCUUGAGGAAGUCAUUCACAUUAUGAAGCUGUGAAGCCUGAUGGUUCUGGCAGGUAUGAGUGGUUGCUAGAAGCUUCCUAGUUGGGAGUGUGGUUCUCCUGUGGGAUGAACAGGAAGGGAAAUGAUUUUCUUGGCCAUGUCUUCUGCCCCAAUCACUUCUCUCUGAGUUUGGCAGGCACCUUACAACCAAACAACUUGCUGUGGCUUUUUAAGAUUUCAGAUUUUACCUAGGAGCUUCUGCCUCUCACUAUGAGAGGAUUCCAGCUCCUGAAAAGUUACCUCAAAGAUAAGAGGAUUUUCUUUGAAAACAACAUAAGUGGCUUUUCUUUUUCCCAAUGAAACCUCGACCUUUUCCAAACCAGAG